Molecule: ribosomal RNA, 652 nt
Filed under: uncultured organism
Description: bacterial SSU rRNA
Rfam family: Bacterial small subunit ribosomal RNA
Source: RNAcentral
GGCUUAGAGUUUGAUCAUGGCUCAGGAUAAACGCUGGCGGCGCACAUAAGACAUGCAAGUCGAACGGACUUAAUCGAUUCUUUUAGAUUCGAAGCGGUUAGUGGCGGACUGGUGAGUAACACGUAAGCAACCUGCCUAUUAGAGGGGAAUAACAGUGAGAAAUCACUGCUAAAACCGCAUAUGCCGUGAACAUCGCAUGAUGAAAACGGGAAAAGAGCAAUCUGCUAAUAGAUGGGCUUGCGUCUGAUUAGCUAGUUGGUGUGGUAAUGGCAUACCAAGGCAACGAUCAGUAGCCGGACUGAGAGGUUGAACGGCCACAUUGGGACUGAGAUACGGCCCAGACUCCUACGGGAGGCAGCAGUCGGGAAUAUUGCGCAAUGGAGGAAACUCUGACGCAGUGACGCCGCGUAUGGGAAGAAGGUUUUCGGAUUGUAAACCAUUUUAGACAAGGAAGAAAGAAGACAGUACUUGUAGAAUAAGCUCCGGCUAACUACGUGCCAGCAGCCGCGGUAAUACGUAGGGAGCAAGCGUUAUCCGGAUUUAUUGGGUGUAAAGGGUGCGUAGACGGGAAGGUAAGUUAGUUGUGAAAUCCCUCGGCUCAACUGAGGAACUGCGACUAAAACUGCUUUUCUUGAGUGCUGGAGAGGAAAGU